RNAcentral lists this ribosomal RNA (236 nucleotides) under Candida albicans. Its description in RNAcentral is "partial 28S ribosomal RNA". It matches the Rfam family "Eukaryotic large subunit ribosomal RNA", at positions 1 to 233 of the family's 3401-position model. The record is from RNAcentral. Lineage: Eukaryota; Fungi; Ascomycota; Pichiomycetes; Serinales; Debaryomycetaceae.
UUUGACCUCAAAUCAGGUAGGACUACCCGCUGAACUUAAGCAUAUCAAUAAGCGGAGGAAAAGAAACCAACAGGGAUUGCCUCAGUAGCGGCGAGUGAAGCGGCAAAAGCUCAAAUUUGAAAUCUGGCGUCUUUGGCGUCCGAGUUGUAAUUUGAAGAAGGUAUCUUUGGGCCCGGCUCUUGUCUAUGUUCCUUGGAACAGGACGUCACAGAGGGUGAGAAUCCCGUGCGAUGAGA